Molecule: ribosomal RNA, 466 nt
Filed under: uncultured bacterium
Lineage: Bacteria
Description: partial 16S ribosomal RNA
Rfam family: Bacterial small subunit ribosomal RNA
Source: RNAcentral
GACGAACGCUGGCGGCGUGCUUAACACAUGCAAGUCGAACGGAAAGGCCCUGCUUUUGUGGGGUGCUCGAGUGGCGAACGGGUGAGUAACACGUGAGUAACCUGCCCUUGACUUUGGGAUAACUUCAGGAAACUGGGGCUAAUACCGGAUAGGAGCUCCUGCUGCAUGGUGGGGGUUGGAAAGUUUCGGCGGUUGGGGAUGGACUCGCGGCUUAUCAGCUUGUUGGUGGGGUAGUGGCUUACCAAGGCUUUGACGGGUAGCCGGCCUGAGAGGGUGACCGGCCACAUUGGGACUGAGAUACGGCCCAGACUCCUACGGGAGGCAGCAGUGGGGAAUAUUGCACAAUGGGCGGAAGCCUGAUGCAGCAACGCCGCGUGCGGGAUGACGGCCUUCGGGUUGUAAACCGCUUUCGCCUGUGACGAAGCGUGAGUGACGGUAAUGGGUAAAGAAGCACCGGCCAACUACG